Molecule: ribosomal RNA, 471 nt
Filed under: uncultured bacterium
Lineage: Bacteria
Description: SSU rRNA
Rfam family: Bacterial small subunit ribosomal RNA
Source: RNAcentral
AGGAUGAACGCUGGCGGCGUGCCUAACACAUGCAAGUCGAACGUCCUGUCUCGCAAGAGGCAGGGAGUGGCGGACGGGUGAGUACCACGUGGGUCAUCUACCGUGAGGUGAGGAAUACCGGCGAGAAAUCGCCGACAAGACCGCAUAGGCUCGAUGCAAGUCGAGCAAAGCUCUCUCGAGAGAGGGAGCGCCACACGAGGAGCCUGCGCCCGAUUAGCUAGCUGGUGGAGUAAUGGUUCACCAGGGCGACGAUCGGUAGCUGGUCUGAGAGGACGAUCAGCCACACUGGGAUUGAGAACGGCCCAGACUCCUACGGGGGCAGCAGUGAGGAAUUUCGUCAAUGGGGGCAACCCUGAACGAGCAACGCCGCGUGCAGGAAGAAGGUUUUCGGAUCGUAAACUGCUUUUCUCGGGAAGAGAACGGACGGUACCCGAGGAAUCGAGCCCCGGCUAACUACGUGCCAGCAGCCGC